This 572-nucleotide long non-coding RNA is filed under the name Heterocephalus glaber (naked mole-rat). RNAcentral's name for it is "lncRNA (ENSHGLG00000034623.1)". The record is from RNAcentral. Lineage: Eukaryota; Metazoa; Chordata; Mammalia; Rodentia; Bathyergidae.
GCUCCGCCACCCUCCCUCUCGGCCCACCGCUGCCCCUCAGGAGGGGCCGGUCCAGCGCCCUCCUGGCCGCGCUUCCCAGCCACGAAGGAGGCACUGCCGUCCUUGGAGAGCCACCGUCCACGCCCACCCGGCCUGCAAGUCUCAGCAGAAGGUCCCGCCCUCGGGAGGAGUCAAGGAAUGUUCUGGAAGCUGAGGAGACCUGGAGACUGAGCCAGGCCCCCACGGAGGAUCGGGGUGGGAGCGAGACAGGCAGUGCCAAGGACCCCUCUGCCCGGGGACGCUGGAUCCCUCGUUCCACACAGUGACGCCUUCCUCCGGCCCAGCAUUCCCAGCACCCAGGGCACAGCAGAUGGCUCUCAGCUCUGCACCCCAACACUGGGAGCCAGCAGGCCCCUGAACUGAAGGUCAGCACCUGCUGAGGGCUCUUCUGCCUGCAGGUAGCAUUCACAGAGAAACACACAAGUCCCAGGAUGUGUUACAUCUGAUGGUUUUCAUAUGCUAAGGAACCCUGACCAUCCUGAGACAAAUCCUACGGGUGAUGCUGUGCGAUCCACUCCAUGAGUGACAAAGCC